UAAAUCACGUUUGAACCAUCAGUUCUCGUACGAUCACCGAAAUUAAGCAACGUUGAGCCUGAUCAGUACCUCGACGGGUGACCGCUUGGAAAUUCCAGAUGCUAU
Molecule: non-coding RNA, 105 nt
Organism: Acanthosepion pharaonis
Lineage: Eukaryota; Metazoa; Mollusca; Cephalopoda; Sepiida; Sepiidae
Source: the annotation of a GenBank genome assembly